GCCUCAAUAGCUCAGUAGGUAGAGCGCGGGUUUUGUAAACCUGAGGUCGAGGGUUCAAUUCCCUCUUGAGGCU
RNAcentral lists this transfer RNA (73 nucleotides) under Candidatus Woesearchaeota archaeon. RNAcentral describes it as "tRNA-Thr". It matches the Rfam family "tRNA". Rfam says of the family: Transfer RNA (tRNA) molecules are approximately 80 nucleotides in length. Their secondary structure includes four short double-helical elements and three loops (D, anti-codon, and T loops). Further hydrogen bonds mediate the characteristic L-shaped molecular structure. tRNAs have two regions of fundamental functional importance: the anti-codon, which is responsible for specific mRNA codon recognition, and the 3' end, to which the tRNAs corresponding amino acid is attached (by aminoacyl-tRNA synthetases). tRNAs cope with the degeneracy of the genetic code in two manners: having more than one tRNA (with a specific anti-codon) for a particular amino acid; and 'wobble' base-pairing, i.e. permitting non-standard base-pairing at the 3rd anti-codon position. Lineage: Archaea; Nanobdellati; Candidatus Woesearchaeota. The record is from RNAcentral.